CAACACUGAAAUCUGAAAGCUGAAUUGUAACAUAAAAUCUGAAAGUUGAACUGUAACAUGAAAUUGGAAAGGCGAACUGUAAUAUAAAAUUUGAGUUAAGUUCUGAUAACUGAAUAUAGCUGAGUUUAUUUAUUUUGAAAACUUUAUCAAAUAAACAAUGGUGUCUACGAGUGUGAGGGUGUCUUGCCUAAUCCCCGACUACCUUGCGGCUUUUACACUCUGGGUGGUUGACUACUUCUUCCAAAUACAUAAAUUUGAACAAAUAAUGGCACCUGGAAGUGUGAAGAUGGUUGGCCCAUUCCCCGCACUCGGCUGCUUUUAUACUUGGCGGGAUUGGCCACUUCUCCGAACACAUAAAUGUGAACAAAUAAUGGCCAUUGCAAGUAUAAGGAUGACUGACCAAUUUCCGGCCUGGCGGUUUUUACACUUGGAGAGGUUGACCACUUCUACUAACCACAUAAAUUUGAAGACAUGGAGUACCUGCAAGUAUGGGGUAGCUAGCCCUGACAUCGGUGGCUCUCACACUUGGAGAGGUUGGCUACUUCCUGCAAAGCGCAUGCGAUCACAUAUAUUUAAUCUGAAUUGAAUCUGAUAAAAGUAAGAAAUGGCAUAACAACAGUCAAAUCAAACAAGAGAUUCAAUUACUUCUGAAAUUCUAAGGUAGCUGAGUUAACAAGCAGGAUAAUUAAAUUUCUGUAAGAAAAUUUGUAUCAUGAAUCAAUGAUAGAUUCAUAGCAUUUAAGCAAUCAAAGAUUUUCAAAUAAACAGUCAAAGUAAAUACACUUAAGAACCAGCAUUCACUUUUUUAUCAAAUAAUUUUCUUCUUAAUUUUUUUCAUCAUAUUCUUGACUUAGGGAAUGUAACUCAACUUACCUCGAAAAAGUGUCUGAAUCUUCUCCCGAAAAACUCAUGUAGUCAACUCUUGAAAAUCUACUACUUAAUAGGGGUUAAAACCAUUAACCCAAACAAUUCAUUCAAUCCAAUUCUUCUAUUAAAGUCUCAUUUAUCCAUCUAGGGCUUAAGUUAAUUUUUACCUCUAAUUAAAUUCAUCCAUUCUUAUAUUAUAUAAUUUUAAUACGGUUAAGAUAGUCAAAUUUUAACGCUAGAGAGUGGCUGAAUUUAUCUUGAGCUAAAUUCCUACUACCUAGGUUUUACUUCUUUUGAAUUCUUGAAGAUAUUUCUUGAAAUCUGAAAUUUGCCAAGUGAUUUGAUUUAGUAGCAUGAUUAAAUGUUAAAAAGUCUAUAUAUUUAUCCAAGAUUUACAACACCUAUGAGUAGAAGAGUUUGCCCAGCUUCACAUUUGCUUUGUGGGAGAAUGCAAUAACAACAAUAAAAACAACAAUAACAAUAACAACAACAACAACAAACCCAGUGUAAUUUCAUAAGUGGGGUCUAAGGAGAGUAGUGUAUGCACAACCUUACCCUUACCUUGAGCAGGUAGAGAGACUAUUUUCGAUAGACUCUCGGCUCCAAACAAGUAUGCAAAUAACAACAGCAUAAGAAGACCUAGUGCUCAACACCCUAAAAUAGAAGUCUUUUCCGAAAUUG
This 1548-nucleotide long non-coding RNA is filed under the name Nicotiana tabacum (common tobacco). RNAcentral's name for it is "long non-coding RNA (NTAB_LNC017469)". The record is from RNAcentral. Lineage: Eukaryota; Viridiplantae; Streptophyta; Magnoliopsida; Solanales; Solanaceae.